GACGAACGCUGGCGGCGUGCUUAACACAUGCAAGUCGAACGGAAAGGCCCUGCUUUUGUGGGGUGCUCGAGUGGCGAACGGGUGAGUAACACGUGAGUAACCUGCCCUUGACUUUGGGAUAACUUCAGGAAACUGGGGCUAAUACCGGAUAGGAGCUCCUGCUGCAUGGUGGGGGUUGGAAAGUUUCGGCGGUUGGGGAUGGACUCGCGGCUUAUCAGCUUGUUGGUGGGGUAGUGGCUUACCAAGGCUUUGACGGGUAGCCGGCCUGAGAGGGUGACCGGCCACAUUGGGACUGAGAUACGACCCAGACUCCUACGGGAGGCAGCAGUGGGGAAUAUUGCACAAUGGGCGGAAGCCUGAUGCAGCAACGCCGCGUGCGGGAUGACGGCCUUCGGGUUGUAAACCGCUUUCGCCUGUGACGAAGCGUGAGUGACGGUAAUGGGAAAAGAAGCACCGGCUAACUACGUG
RNAcentral lists this ribosomal RNA (468 nucleotides) under uncultured bacterium. Its description in RNAcentral is "partial 16S ribosomal RNA". It matches the Rfam family "Bacterial small subunit ribosomal RNA", at positions 28 to 507 of the family's 1533-position model. The record is from RNAcentral.